Molecule: non-coding RNA, 135 nt
Organism: Triticum aestivum (bread wheat)
Lineage: Eukaryota; Viridiplantae; Streptophyta; Magnoliopsida; Poales; Poaceae
Source: Rfam
AAAGUACUCCCUCCAUCCCAAAAUUAUUGUCUUAGAUUUGUCUAGAUACGGAUGUAUCAAGUCACAUUUUAGUAUUAGAUACAUCCGUAUCUAGACAAAUCUAAGACAAGAAAUUUGGGACAGAGGGAGUAGUUG